RNAcentral lists this ribosomal RNA (253 nucleotides) under uncultured bacterium. RNAcentral's name for it is "partial 16S ribosomal RNA". It matches the Rfam family "Bacterial small subunit ribosomal RNA", at positions 524 to 776 of the family's 1533-position model. The record is from RNAcentral.
GACGUAGGGUCCAAGCGUUGUCCGGAUUUACUGGGCGUAAAGGGCUCGUAGGCGGCCAACUAAGUCAGACGUGAAAUCCCUCGGCUUAACCGGGGAACUGCGUCUGAUACUGAAGAUCUUGAGUUCGGGAGAGGUGAGUGGAACUGCGAGUGUAGAGGUGAAAUUCGUAGAUAUUCGCAAGAACACCAGUGGCGAAGGCGGCUCACUGGCCCGAUACUGACGCUGAGGCACGAAAGCGUGGGGAGCAAACAGG